AUCAUCAGUGAGCUUCUCGCUGCAGUAGUCCCCACCUGGCAUCUCGCCCCCUGCACAGCCCUGAAUCGUAGGAACAGCGGCAUCACUCAGAGAUCAGCUCCGUGAACCGCCCAGCUCCUGUAGCAGCAUACUGGAGAUUGCCAUCAUAUUCCUGAAGAGAGAAUCAAUUCUUCAUUCAACCAUCUUAAAGCCAAGAACGGUGACAGAGUUUUCAUUACCUUUUCUUCUUCAAUGAGAUCACCCUUCAAUUUAGGAUUCAUGCCUGCCUUCUGGACUUCUGAGGACUAUAAGAAUGUUGAUAAAACAAACGCAACCAUUCAAGCUGAGGCUGCCCAUCUGGAAGCACCUCUCUCCUCCACUGUGGCCCUGAUAAUAGUGCUCAUAAUUAUUUUCUCAUUGGUAAUGACCUCCUUUGUGACAUACUGUUUCCAUAAGUGGAAACUGAGGGGCCGCAAGCUGCAGCGAGCCCAGGAAGAGUAUCAGAGAGAUCAAGAGAAAAGUAUCUUUCAUAGCCCUCCGGAUCUGAUUUCCUAGAAAGGUAGUAAACUGACAAUUGAAGGGUGCCAUCUGAAAUGAAGCAACAAGACAAGAAAGAACCAUAAAUGAAGUGACAUGAAAUCAGAAGAAGUUAUACAUGAAACAACAAAAUGUGAAACAUGAAGGAAAACCAUGGGCAGCAAAAUAAUCAGAAAUGAAGGGAGAAAAAAUUAAUUGUAUAAUGAACUCUGAGAGAAAGGGUUCAUGAUGUAGUUGAUCUGUUAAUGAAGCUGAUCAUUGUUUGAAAGCUACCAACAAUUUCAUUAUAAAUUACAAGUAAUUUGGUGGUAGGCUUUGUUUCAUUUUGUUUUUCAGUGUAAGGGGAAGCAAAGUAAUAUAUUUUACAUUUACAUUUUACUUACCACCAACUUUUGAUUUGAUAAUGAUUGAUAAGUAUUGAAGUUGGCCAGGUGAAUACACAGUAGGGAAUUUUGUCUAGUGUAAACCUUAUAAUGUGGUAGUUUAUUUCCUGGCUAGUAGUGUUUGUAGUAAAGUUAAGAAAAAGAAAA
Dipodomys ordii (Ord's kangaroo rat) is the source of this 1046-nucleotide long non-coding RNA. RefSeq lists it as uncharacterized. Lineage: Eukaryota; Metazoa; Chordata; Mammalia; Rodentia; Heteromyidae. The record is from RefSeq and is a predicted model, not a curated record. The transcript is spliced from 2 exons.